CAUUCUCAACUAUACAAGUUUUUACAACAUGUAUGGCUUGGAUCUUGGGAUUUGCGGGCUUUCACAAGUCGGCUAUCCUUAAAUGUAUUAGCAGAGCUUUUGCCGCUAACCUCUGGUGUGAUAAUUAUCUACGCCGUUGAGUUUCGACAUACUGAGGCUUAGCUUCUAAUUGUCCGCAAGGACAACAUUUGACA
RNAcentral lists this unclassified non-coding RNA (194 nucleotides) under uncultured Clitopilus. RNAcentral's name for it is "partial internal transcribed spacer 2". The record is from RNAcentral. Lineage: Eukaryota; Fungi; Basidiomycota; Agaricomycetes; Agaricales; Entolomataceae.